This 485-nucleotide ribosomal RNA is filed under the name uncultured bacterium. Its description in RNAcentral is "partial 16S ribosomal RNA". It matches the Rfam family "Bacterial small subunit ribosomal RNA", at positions 30 to 507 of the family's 1533-position model. The record is from RNAcentral.
AUUGAACGCUGGCGGCAGGCUUAACACAUGCAAGUCGAGCGGGGAAAGGUAGCUUGCUACCUAACCUAGCGGCGGACGGGUGAGUAAUGCUUAGGAAUCUGCCUAUUAGUGGGGGACAACAUCUCGAAAGGGAUGCUAAUACCGCAUACGUCCUACGGGAGAAAGCAGGGGACCUUCGGGCCUUGCGCUAAUAGAUGAGCCUAAGUCGGAUUAGCUAGUUGGUGGGGUAAAGGCCUACCAAGGCGACGAUCUGUAGCGGGUCUGAGAGGAUGAUCCGCCACACUGGGACUGAGACACGGCCCAGACUCCUACGGGAGGCAGCAGUGGGGAAUAUUGGACAAUGGGGGGAACCCUGAUCCAGCCAUGCCGCGUGUGUGAAGAAGGCCUUUUGGUUGUAAAGCACUUUAAGCGAGGAGGAGGCUACCGAGAUUUAUACUCUUGGAUAGUGGACGUUACUCGCAGAAUAAGCACCGGCUAACUCUGUG